Salvelinus namaycush (lake trout) is the source of this 771-nucleotide long non-coding RNA. RefSeq lists it as uncharacterized. The transcript has 2 exons. Lineage: Eukaryota; Metazoa; Chordata; Actinopteri; Salmoniformes; Salmonidae. The record is from RefSeq and is a predicted model, not a curated record.
ACUUGCUCCCCUCUAUCAAUCGGAUAUUGGACACAGUCUCGGAGGGAGGUCCAGCUCUGACUGGCCUGACUGAGUAGAAAAACACACUGCCAUAUCCGCUGCUGUGGUGGAUUCCAUGGAGAACCCCCAAGAUUACAGACCUGGAUUCAAAUGAAUAGUGCCUCAACAAAUAGAAGCAGCAGAAAAUGCAGACAUCUCCCGGAGGGUCGGCUAACAGGGACACCUAAUCCCCCAACACCACGACCAACUGGCGCAACUGGGUACGGCUAUGGAUGAGGUCCUCCGCGUUCUCCAACAUCAUCCGAGGGGCAUCACCUCUAACUAGCGGAGGACCCUCUACCACGAGUCGUCCCUGCCAGCCAGUCACCCAGCCCAUCCAGCAGUUAGCGAUGCCUGAUUGUCCCUCCCGUACAAAUAUGAUGGGACUCCAUCUAAAUGUCGUGGCUUCCUACUCCAGUGCUCCCUCUAUUCCGCCCAUCAGACGAGAGCCCCUACCACUGAGAGGUCCAAGGUUGCCACGGCCAUUUCCCUGCCAGUCAGACGGGCGUUGAAGUGGGCCACGGCCAUCUGGGAGAGAGGAAAGGAGGAGCUGUUGUGAGCGCUGUAGUAUCUGUGAUCUACAUCUGUUUAUAUUAGUUACUAUGCUGUUACUAAGCAGUAAUGUAUUACGCAGUGUUUCGUUACUACACCUAAAAGGAAAUGCACAUGCGCACUAUGGUGCCCGGGAACUGUAGAGGGCGAGGGGUUUUGACUAAACAAAAACUAACUGUA